Molecule: ribosomal RNA, 167 nt
Filed under: uncultured bacterium
Lineage: Bacteria
Description: partial 16S ribosomal RNA
Rfam family: Bacterial small subunit ribosomal RNA
Source: RNAcentral
GCUUAACCGGAGUAGGUCAUUUGAAACUGUAUUUCUUGAGUGCUGGAGAGGCAAUCGGAAUUCCGUGUGUAGCGGUGAAAUGCGUAGAUAUACGGAGGAACACCAGUGGCGAAGGCGGAUUGCUGGACAGUAACUGACGCUGAGGCGCGAAAGCGUGGGGAGCAAAC